UCCACCUCUGGACCCUGAUGCUACAGUUGAAAACACAACAAGAUAGCAACAAACACCACUAACCAACAAUAUAUGUAUAUAACUUUUCAAUUAAAAUCAAAGUUAUCCCAAUAUCCAAUAAGAUGGCAGCAGGAUAAAUGAAGUUGACUGAACCAAAGCUAUCACAUAAUAGAUUCUCACUUGCAUCUUUGAUUUUCAUCUUUCCCUAAUUAAUUCAAAGAGAUAUCCAAUUUAGAGAGAUAAACCACUUAGCUUGAUAUGAUGGCGUUUUUCAAAUAGAGCGGGCCCUUUGGAGACUGCAGAAUGUAGCAAAAUCGAAACCAUCACAGGCUUCCCACUAUUGAGCUCCAUCAAUUUUGGACUCUUGCCUCAAAUCUGGUUUUGAGAAAAUAGGGCUUUCUCCGUCGUCUUCUCCAGAGAGAAGGGCUGACUAUCGCUGCGAAACA
RNAcentral lists this long non-coding RNA (446 nucleotides) under Salvia miltiorrhiza (redroot sage). RNAcentral's name for it is "long non-coding RNA (SMIL_LNC011389)". The record is from RNAcentral. Lineage: Eukaryota; Viridiplantae; Streptophyta; Magnoliopsida; Lamiales; Lamiaceae.